RNAcentral lists this unclassified non-coding RNA (2068 nucleotides) under uncultured fungus. RNAcentral describes it as "sequence contains 18S rRNA gene, ITS1, 5.8S rRNA gene, ITS2, 28S rRNA gene". The stretch from base 953 to 2068 matches the Rfam family "Eukaryotic large subunit ribosomal RNA", at positions 1 to 961 of the family's 3401-position model. Lineage: Eukaryota; Fungi. The record is from RNAcentral.
GGAGGGAUCAUUAACACGUAUCCAAACGUUAAUUAAACCAAACCGUGCUCCUUAUCUUCCCGUAUUGGAUUGGGUAUAUGCAAGCCACAAGAUAGAAUUUAGGGCUUCGGCUCUAUCUGCUUGCAGUACUAUGGACCAAAGAGGGGUAACUCUCUUUGUUCCAUAACAGUCUGGUAUGGUGUAAUCUAAGUUCUAUCUUGGUUAUCAGUGCCAACCCGGCUCGACCCGGAGCCUGGUAACCUUAUUAAACCCCAUUUUUUAACCCCUUUAAAUAAAUUUACUGACUUUACUUUUGUUGGUGACCUUUUGGUCCUAAUUAAGUAUAUACGAAACGCGAACAACUCUUAGCAACGGAUAUCUUGGUUCUCGUACCGAUGAAGAACGCAGCGAAAUGCGAUACGUAAUGCGAAUUGCAGAAUUCAGUGAAUCAUCAAAUCUUUGAACGCAAAUUGCGCUCCUGGGAUAGCCCUGGGAGCAUGCCUCUCUGAGUAUCGGUUCUACCUACUAUCGACAGCGUAUUAGAAAUAAUAUUAGCUGACGGAAAAUGAGUGUCUCGGUUUCUGAACAUAUACCGUGUCACUUGAAAUAUAUAGUAACCUUCGGAACUCCUAGUAGCGUAUCUAUAGUAAUUUUAUUAUUAUUGUAGAUAAUCAUUGAUAGCGACUCUUCUUUUGAUUUCAAAUUCUAUUCGUUUGAAAGUAUAAAGAGAAUUGGCUUGUUUACUGGUGACGUGGAUAGAAUACCUUCGGGUGUUUCAAAACGUCAAUACCUAUAGAUGAGUCCAAUUUCUUUUUAUUGCUUAAUUCAUUCGAGUGUGUUCAGUACGAACGUCAAAGGAUACUAUGGGUCACUUUUAAUGGGUAAGCUAUUGGUUGAGCCACUGAAAGUUAAUCAGGAAAUUAACCGGAGAUGAGCCCUGAUGUAACAGUCAUGGUCUCUCUCUUUUGAAAAUAGAUCUCAGAUGAAGCAAGAAGACCCCCUGAAUUUAAGCAUAUUAUUAAGGGGAGGAAAAGAAACUAACAAGGAUUCCCCUAGUAACGGCGAGUGAAGCGGGAAGAGCUCAAAUUGAAAAUCGGCAACCUAUGCGGGUUGUCGAAUUGUAGCCUAGAGACGUACUGUCAGCGUGUGACCCAGGUAUAAAUCUUUUGAAACAAGGUAUCACUGAGGGUGAGAAUCCCGUCUUUGACCUGGAGUUCGCCGCGUACGACGUGCGUUCGUAGAGUCGAGUUGUUUGGGAUUGCAGCUCUAAAUGGGUGGUAAAUUUCAUCUAAAGCUAAAUAUCGACGAGAGACCGAUAGCGAACAAGUACCGUGAGGGAAAGAUGAAAAGAACUUUGAAAAGAGAGUUAAAAAGUACUUGAAAUUGUUAAGAGGGAAGCGCUGGAAACCAGUCAUUACUGGUAGCUAUACUUACUAUCUGCUCUCGAAGAAGGUUGCGGAUCAGAGCGCAAGCCUGGUCGGACCUUGGACGAAGGGCAGGUGGGUCCUGUAGCUAUCAGUGGGUCAGAAUCAAUUCGAUUCGCGGGUGAAGAUUAUGAGGAAGGUAGGGUCUCCGGACCUGUUAUAGCCUUGUAGUACUACCGUGGGUUGGAUUGAGGAUGAUAAUAUGCGCCGCAAGGUUUCGGUUGCCUGCUUCUGCUGGGUUAGUUGCUUUGGAGAACAAUGUUCUGCGGGUGACGAAGCCUGGUACUGAGUAGGACAGCCAGAUGCAUAUUCGCGAUUCUGACGAAAUGGUUUUCAUCGACCCGUCUUGAAACACGGACCAAGGAGUCUAACAUGUAUGCGAGUAUUUGGGUGGUAAACCCUGAUGCGUAAUGAAAGUGAAGGUAGUUUCGGCUACUGAGGUAGGAAUCCGCUUGCGGAGGCACUAUCGACCGAUCGUCACUUGUGAUAGAUUUGAGUAAGAGCAUAUCUGUUGGGACCCGAAAGAUGGUGAUCUAUGCCUGAACAGGGUGAAGCCAGGGGAAACUCUGGUGGAGGCUCGUAGCGAUACUGACGUGCAAAAUCGUUCGUCUGAUUUGGGUAUAGGGGCGAAAGACUAAUCGAACCAUCUAGUAGCUGGUUCCCUC